UGAGGAAUAUUGCGCAAUGGGGGCAACCCUGACGCAGCAACGCCGCGUGAGUGAGGAAGGUUUUCGGACCGGAAAGCUCUGUCGAGCGGGAAGAAAUGUAUCGUGGCUAAUAUCCAUGAUAUUUGACGGUACCGCUAAAGGAAGCACCGGCUAACUCCGUGCCAGCAGCCGCGGUAAUACGGGGGGGUGCAAGCGUUGUUCGGAAUUAUUGGGCGUAAAGAGCGUGUAGGCGGCUGAAUAAGUCAGAUGUGAAAUCCCUGGGCUUAAACCAGGAAGUGCAUUUGAAACUAUUCAGCUUGAGUAGGGGAGAGGAAAGUGGAAUUCCUGGUGUAGAGGUGAAAUUCGUAGAUAUCAGGAGGAACACCGGUGGCGAAGGCGACUUCCUGGCCCUAUACUGAGGCUGAGACGCGAGAGCGUGGGUAGCAAACA
RNAcentral lists this ribosomal RNA (429 nucleotides) under uncultured prokaryote. RNAcentral's name for it is "bacterial SSU rRNA". It matches the Rfam family "Bacterial small subunit ribosomal RNA", at positions 355 to 774 of the family's 1533-position model. The record is from RNAcentral.